GCGCGCCUGCGGGUCUCCAUUUCCGAGUUCACCUCCAUUCCAGAGCCAAAUGGAAAGUCACGCUUUUCUGACUUGAGACUUAAGGUUGUAAGAAAGCCAGUUGACCAUCUUCGCCUCCCUCGCGGCUUUCUAAAUGUCGAGAGCCCAGGUUUGGAAAAAUGUGACUGCGCCGCCUUCCUGGGAGACCCACACUGCAAGUCGCAGUCGGGGCACGUCUCACGGACCGCAAAACGCGGCUGAGUUACUGCGGUUUUCACCUUAGCAGCUUGCACAUUUACAAAUUAAGACAGUCUGGGAGGAAGAAGCAGAGCCACUUGGGUAUAGAAUUGAGAGAAUGGAACGAUUUCCAACGUUUCCAAAAGGCUUCUGGCCAUAUAGGCCCUCUACCUGUUGGCUAGAGAUUUGUUUCUUAUUUAAAGUGGUCAUCAGUUUCGAGUUUUAGUGUGCAGUAUAUGAACGAAAUAAGUCGAAUCGUUUAUUUGCUUAGCAAAGGGAUUUGGAACGAUUUGGGUUUUUAAUCAAAUAAAAGCAAACAUAGGAUUAGGUAGUCUCGAAACACCCACUGUAACGAAGAAUGAUACCCCGGAUUCUAAUAGUAUGUAAACGCAAACACUGUUUUUAUUCUGUAGAAGUCCAGCAUGCUGGGGUCUCCCGUUACCAAGAUAGAGCCUGAAGUGAGCCCGCAGGACCAAUUUAAAGCACCUUAGUGGAAUCCUGGGGUGUUUGCCCACAUUGCAUGUGCCAUGUCCAUGCCUGGUGCCUACAGAAGCCAGAAGGGGGCAUUGGAUCUCCUGGAACUGGAGUUACAGUUGUGAGCCACCAUGUGUGUGCUGGGAAUCAAACCUGGGUUCCCUGGAAGAGCAGCCAGUACUCUUAGAUGUUGAACCAUCUCUCCAAGCCCUUUUUAUCUUUUUAAGCUAUAGCGUGUGUGUGUGUGUGUGUGUGUGUGUAAUGUGCAUAUAGGAGUGCCUGAAUACAUACCACAGUGGGGGUGGGGGGUGAGAGGACAGCUUGGUAGAGUCAGUUCUCUCCUUUUAGUUUUAUUCCUGGAUUCCAGGAAUAGAACUCAGGCCCUUAUGCUUACAUAGCAAGCUCUUUUAUCUCAUCUAUCUUGCUGGCCCUGGAUUACUACUUCUUUAUUUUUUAAAUUUAUUUAUUUUAUUUGUAUGACUAGCUAUCUUCAGACACACCAUAGAAGAGGGCAUCAGGUCUCAUUACAGAUGCUUGUGAGCCACCAUGUGGUUGCUGGGAAUUGAACUCAGGACCUCUGAAAGAGCAGUCGGUGCUCUUAACCUCUGAGCCAUCUCUCCAGUCUGGAUUACUUCUCUUACUAGCAGUUUGGCAGGAGAGUUUUCAGUGUGCAGUUGCUAUAGUUUAACAGGCACAACAAUGCUGCCACUUCCCCAUCUGGAGGCCUCAAGUACUGGUGUUCUUAAGCCUUUCCCUCUGGUCUUCCUGUUUAUAGGUUGUAGUGACAAUUUUGGGAUUUUGUUUUCUUUAAAAAAAAAUCACAUAAAUAUUAUACUAAUAUGUUUUCAUUCUUAAUCCCAGGUAUGGGAUGUAGGCCUGCUUCAGGUAUUCACAGCGCCUGACUAUGUUUGCUUCCUGCUCCAGCAGGCGCAUGCAUGAUUUUACCAGCUAUAGAUACUUUCUGAAAUUGGAAUUCUGGGGAGUUUUCAGAGGGUAUAUAAAUGUUAAUGCCCUGAGAAGCAUGGUUGGUGGUUGGUUGGUGUGGGUUGCUGUUGGUUACAGUUUGUUAAGUAGUCAUGUGCGAAGAAGAAACAAGGAGAUGAAGAAAUUAGCUAUCCUGACAUUGAAGAUCAAACUUUCCCUAAGGAGCUUGUCCCCAAUCAGCAGGAACUAGUCUAACAAUAAUGUCACCCCUUUUCCACCUCAUACUUUAUUCAGGGAUCUCUUUCCUUUCCUCUCUAUCGUUUUUUUUUCUUUCUUAUCUAGAGUUAGGAGGCUGAAAAGGUGGAAGAAAAGGGGUGAAAAAGGGCGGAAGAACAAAGAACCUACAAUGUAGCAUAAAAGAGCUACAAGUGCUGCCCAGACAUGGGGCUAGGCAGAGUGGGAAAUUUGAUUUCAAGUGCGGUAGAGAAAAAGGUAGGAGAAGAUGCCAGCAAAAAAUGUACUGAGGCUUCUACUAUUGGGAUAUUUUCUGCUUUGCACCCACAAGGGAUUUUCUGUAUUUGUUGUUUGUUUGUUUCAAAAAAGUUUGAAAGACUGGCUGAGUUGUGAACAAAGCUAUAUCAGACCUGAUGCAAGGCAGAUGUUGAUAGAGAUCUUGGCAUAUAAAAAUUUGUAUAUCAGUGUAAAAACCAUCAAAGUCAAGAGCAGUACCUAUGGACACGUAUAUAAGGGAUAUGGCCGAUACUGGUUCUAACAUGAACCAUACUAAUAUCAUAGGUCCAGCUAUAGCUAGAGGUCUGAUAUCAAAAUAUCCAGUGCUUCAAUUGUAGGAAAUACGGUCUUUGCAAAGAGACUAUGACCAAGCUGCUAAGAUCUCAGACCUCAAAAUGCUUGGUGCUUUAAUUGUGGAAAAUUUGGUCAUUUGCAACAAAAUUGUGAACAAGGCAUCUCUAAGGCCAAUGGGUUUUCUAAAUAUAAAACAGAAAGAAGGCUUAGGCUUCCAGGGGUGUGCAGGUGAUGUGGCAGGGUUGCCAUUAGACCAAUAAGGAUAGGUCUGAGAGAGAUAUCUAAGGCAAUUUCUUACCAUCAGGAAACAGCAUUGGGGGCCUAACUAGAGACCCCCACAGCAAAAAGUACAAGUUUUUGCCUCUUGUCAGCCAAGAAAUAACAAGCAGAAAAUCCUCAACUAAGUAUCACAAGUCUAAUGCAUGCUACUGCAGACAGUGCUGCUCUAGACUUGGCUAUAGAUAAACAUCUUACACUGUCCCCAAAAGUUCAUUGUUAUAAAAUUACUACUGGGGUUUAUGGUCCUUCACCCUCAGGGACAACAGGGAUGAUCCUGGGAAGGAGUGGGUUGACUUCCUAAGGAUUCAUUGUGUAUUCAGGAAUUACAGAUGAAGAUUUCAAAGGAGAAGUUAAAUUCUGGCCUAUGUACAAAGAGAGAUGUGACUGAACCCAGGUGAGAGGGUUGCUCAGCUGCUAUUGUUUCCCUACAUCAAAGGCAAACCUUCUCCAUGAGAAAGAACAGGAGUGUUUGCAAGUACUGGAAAAUGUGUGUUUUGACAAACGGUAGUUAAUCAUCAGAGGCCAAAAUUAAAAUUGCAAGUAAAUGGUGUAGAAAUAGAAGGUUUGGUGGGUACAGGAACUGACAUAACACAUUUCACAAAAAUCCUGGGAUUCAAAAUGGCCACUUCAAAAGUAAAUGCACAGUUUCUAGAUAUUAGAAAUUUAUCUCAGAUAAAACAAAAUGUACAAUGGCUUAAAUGUGAGACUGAAAGGCCAAACAUAUUUGUUAAAGCCUACAUGGCCAUCAAACCCAUAAAUUUAGGGGAAAGGGAUCUUUCUGAGUGGGUGCUCAGAUUACCAUCCCUGUAAUCCCAGACACAGCCCAUGGUGAAAUAAGGGGUGAAAUGGUAGAUGUUCCUGGAAAAGGUAUUGCUGUAUGUCAUGAAAACCAACCCUAGCCUGUGCCAAUUGUCCCAACACAGGAAAGAACAGGGAUUGAGUUUCCAAAUUUAUAAGGGGGGUCUAUUGACAAAGUAUCAACAGCCCUACCCUUAAAAUGGUUGACUGAUAACCCUGUGCAGGUACAUCAGUGGCCUUUGACUAAGAAGAAAAUUACAGGCACUUGAGUAACUUCAACAUAUAAAUGAGUCUACCAGCCCAUGGAAUUUCCCUGUAUUUUUUAUUAAAAAAAAUGUGGGCUGGUGAGAUGGCUCAGUGGGUAAGAGUACCCGACUGCUCUUCCGAAGGUCAGGAGUUCAAAUCCCAGCAACCACAUGGUGGCUCACAACCAUCCGUAACGAGAUCUGACUCCCUCUUCUGGAGUGUCUGAGGACAGCUACAGUGUACUUACAUAUAAUAAAUAAAUAAAUAAAUAAAUAUGAAUUGGGAAAA
This is a long non-coding RNA of Mus musculus (house mouse), 4029 nucleotides long. RefSeq annotates it as predicted gene, 39859. The transcript is spliced from 2 exons. Lineage: Eukaryota; Metazoa; Chordata; Mammalia; Rodentia; Muridae. The record is from RefSeq and is marked validated.